This 363-nucleotide ribosomal RNA is filed under the name uncultured bacterium. Its description in RNAcentral is "bacterial SSU rRNA". It matches the Rfam family "Bacterial small subunit ribosomal RNA", at positions 8 to 334 of the family's 1533-position model. The record is from RNAcentral.
AGGGUUCGAUCCUGGCUCAGGAUGAACGCCGGCGGUGUGCCUAAUACAUGCAAGUCGAGCGCACUGGCCCAACUGAUAUGACGUGCUUGCACUGAUUUGACGAUGGAUUACCAGUGAGCGGCGGACGGGUGAGUAACACGUGGGCAAUCUGCCCUGGAGCGGGGGAUAACAUUUGGAAACAGAUGCUAAUACCGCAUAAUAAUCAAAACCACAUGGUUUUGAUUUCAAAGAUGGUUUCGGCUAUCACUCUAGGAUGGGCCCGCGGUGCAUUAGCUAGUUGGUAAGGUAACGGCUUACCAAGGCCAUGAUGCAUAGCCGAGUUGAGAGACUGAUCGGCCACAAUGGAACUGAGACACGGUCCAU